RNAcentral lists this long non-coding RNA (439 nucleotides) under Panax ginseng (ginseng). RNAcentral describes it as "long non-coding RNA (PGIN_LNC014690)". Lineage: Eukaryota; Viridiplantae; Streptophyta; Magnoliopsida; Apiales; Araliaceae. The record is from RNAcentral.
GCUUCUCGAAUUAUAGGGAGCAAACUAAAAACGAACCGGACGACCACCACCACCACCACCAUCACCACCACCGCCUGCAUAACCUCCAGCACCAUAACCGCCUCCAUAUAUAUACUCCAGCACCAUAAUCACCGCUACCACCUCCCUAUCCACCAGCUCCAUAGCCAAUGCCGCCGCCACCACCACCGCUACCACUUCCAUAGCCAACAACACCAUGAUCACCACCUACACCUCCAUAGCCACCACCUCCACCAGUACCUCUCCCACCACCAUACCCUCCUCUUCCUUCAAUGGUGAGGAGAGCUCUAGCUACUGAACAUAAUGCAACACCCAAUUAUAAGAUGAAGAAAACAACACUAUAAAGAACUACUUUGUGUAUAGCCAUGCAUAUAUAUAUAUAUAUAUAAUUAAUUAGAUAUCCCACAUUAUUUAAUACUAA